Long non-coding RNA from Rattus norvegicus (Norway rat), 5549 nucleotides. RefSeq lists it as uncharacterized. The record is from RefSeq and is a predicted model, not a curated record. Lineage: Eukaryota; Metazoa; Chordata; Mammalia; Rodentia; Muridae.
GAGAGAGAAAAAAACGCACAGAGGGUGGAAAAGUGCUCAACUCUCCCCCCCUAAGCCGCGGCGCGCACCCGUCCACGCCGAGCGCGCAGCCUGCCUGGUCCGCUCGGCCCCGGCGCUCUCGGCCCGCCGCCGGGCAGGUAGGAUAAGGAUACCAUCCACAUUUAGUUUUACUUCGUCAACCCCCAAACUUGCAACAUUGUGUCCCCUGGCAUCUGGGAGCGUUUGGGGGCCCUGAUGACUGUCCAGUGGACACCCUCCAUUCUCCCGAGAAAGACUUCAGAGGGAAGUCAAAAUAGGAGUGGGCAGUGUUUACCUUACGAGGGUGAAUUCCUCAUUGCCGCACACCUCAGAGGCCCAAGACCUGGUAAAAAAAAAAAAAAAAAAAAAAAAAAAAAAAAAAGCUGGAAGUUUGUGUCCAAGAGUUUCCAGCGUCGAAGAAUGUGUGGAAACAGUCUCUUUACCUACCCCCAACUUUUUUAGAGCAAGUGUUGAAAUUGUGACAUGAUGAGGAGAAUUUUGUCGCGCGCCUAACGUCUCGCCAGCAAGAACGACACGCGGACACCAGGAUCCUUCUGCAGCAAAGCGUUUAUUGCAUCUUGAAGAGGAGAGAGCGAGCCCCAGAAUGGCGCUGCUUAUAUACACCCUAAUGUGGCGUGUCCACGCCUGAUUGGUCGCUUACCCAUGAUCUCAUUGGCACGCCCCGGGGUGGGAAAAGACUUGGCACGAACACACUCUUGCACAUGCACACACAGCUAGUUUCCUGAAAGGAAGUCGGGCUGGCGCAGCAGAAGCCAGCGCCAUCUUGUAAUGGCGAAUGUUAUUGUGGCUUUCCACGUGGGGCACAGCGGAAGCCAGCGCCAUCUUGUGACGGCGAAUGCUAUCGCGGCUUUCCACAGAAUUUCUUUUGAGUCCAGUAGAUUUAUUUGGUGUUCUGGAAGUAAACUUCUUGUGCCUUUAUAAGAGUGUCCCUUCUUAAGAGAUUUUAAUAUUUUGUUAAAAAUUUUUUUUGGAUUUUCGAGUUGAGAUUUUUCUCUUUAGGCCUAUUAUUCUUAAGCUGGCUCUUUUUAUACUUUCCCAAAUUUCCUGGAUGCCAGGAAUUUUUUAGAUUUAACAUUUUCUAUGACUGAUGUAUCAUUUUUUUUUAAUUGUGUCUUCAAUGCCUGAGAUUCUCUCUUUCAUUUCUGGCUUUCUCUUGCUGAAAUUUACCACUGUAGUUGUUUAAAUUCCUACAUUUUGUAUUUCCAGAAUCCCCUCAGUCUAUGAUUUCUUUAUUGCUUCUAUUUCUACUUUCAGGUAUUGACCAGUUUGUUCAUUUCCUUCAGCUGUUUGUUUUUCUUGGCUUUCUUUAAGGGUAUUAUGCAUUUUCUGGAAUUUUUGUUUCUUUACUUUCUUUAAAGGAUUGAUCCAUUUCCUCUUUAAGGACCUCUAUCAUCUUCAUGAAGUUGAUUUGAAGGUCAUUUUCCUGUGCUUUUCCUAUGUUGGAAUAUUCAGGUUUGCUGUCCUAGGACAGUAGAAUUGAGCUCUCUGGUAGUGACAUACUGCCCUGGCUGGUGUCUAUUAUAUUCUUCCGCUGGCACCUAAGCAUCUGAGCUUGGGAUAAUGAUAGGUCAAGUGCUGAUUUCUGAGGGUUUUUUGUUGUUGUUGUUAUUGUUGGUUGAGUGUUUUCCCCUUUGGUUUCUGAUUCUUCUCUGGUUUUUUGACUGGAGUGGCCUGUGGUUGAAUAAAGUGGCUCCACCCAAGAUUGGUGCUGGAGUUACUUAUGGUGGAACAGUAUGUCCCCUGUUCUAGCAGAGUGCCUCUACUGGAGUUCGGGGCUAGGAGUUCAUUACAAGGAAGCGGGCAAUGGUUAGGUGUGUCCUUAGCAGGAGCUGAAGAAGUGGAGGUGGUUCGUGGGAAAGCAGCCUUCUGGAGGCUGGUGUGGCCUCUGCUGAGGCAGGUGGUUUCUACUGGAGAUAUGGGCUAGAGUUGGUGAGGGGGGACAGUAGGGAAUAAUCUGAGCAUGGCCUGAGAAAAUAUUGGCAUUUUGUAGGGUGGGAGGCUUACUUGUUGCUCCUUUUGUCAGCAUUGCCUCUGGUGAAGCAUGGGGCUUCUGUCAGAGUUGUGGACAUGAACAUGGAGAGGAGAAGGGUGUGUUGUCGAAAGUAUACCAAGAGAACACUGAGGGAGUAUUGGCAGCCUGCAAAGGUUGGGGCUCACCUGGGGUUCAGGUUGUAGACAUGGUCUGUAGUGGGCCAGGAUAUGGUCAAUAAUCAGAUUUCUAAAUAAGAACACUAGUGCUCAAGUGGCUGUAUUUAUUUCAGAUAUGUCAACCAAAAAUUUAGACACAUGUAACUAAGUAGGAAAAGAGUAGCUUCAGAAUCCACAUUACCUAUUACUUUACCAAAAUGAAAAUAGUAUAUAGGACCACUUUUAAAAGAUGAGGCUUGGAAUUAAUGGAUGGAACUAUUCAGUGACUUUAUUUCAUAUGGAUAAAAAUGGGCAAAUUUUCCACUUUGUCCUGCCCAAAAGAAAAAAAAAAAACCCAAAACCCAAAAGGUCAGGUCUUUGCAUUGCUGGAUUUGUGUUUCCUAAUAGAGGGUGUUUAAAACUUUUUUCUUGGGGUUGGGGAUUUAGCUCAGUGGUAGAGCGCUUGCCUAGCAAGCACAAGGCCCUGGGUUCGGGCCCCAGCUCCAAAAAAAAAAAAAAAAAAAAAAAAACCUUUUUUCUUACAGUCCUUGAAUUCGCAAUAAGAGAUUUAUUAUAAGAGAUUAAAAAUAAAAUGCUCUUUAUUACUGAGUUAUAAGAGAUAUUUAUUUAUUUUAGAUGGAAGUCUGCUAUCAAAAUCUACAGAGAAACACACCACUAGAACUAAUAAAGUAGUUUAGAAAGCUGUAGGAAGCAAGGAGUUUGCAAAAGCAAUUAUAUUUGUGUGUACAAGUGACAACUGCUUCUCAAAAAAGCCUAUAAUAUAAAAAAUUACUUUGGAAUGAGUACCACAAAGAAUUUAAGAUAUGUACACCAUGAGAAAUUAAAUAAGACCAAGAAAAAUGAUAAAAAUUCUGUUUAUAGUUUGGGGACCUCAAUAUAUUUAAGAUGUAACUUUGUUUUAUAUAACAUAUAGAGUAAAAACUUCAAACAAAUUUCUAGAUCUUCAGUUGAAAAUAAGUUUACCUCAAAUUUGUUUAUGAAAACAUCGGCAUUUCGAAUAACUUGUAAAGAAUCAUAGGCAGCACAUUAUCUUAUUUGUAAUGCUUCUUUAGAGGUACAGCAAUGCAAACCAAAUGAUACUCGCCUGUGGAGAGGCGCAGAGCAGAGGAGCACACGAGACAAGUUUGCAGACAGAUCCUCACGUACAUAAUCAAUUGACUUAUCAACCCAGUAGCUUCAGUAAUUCAGUAGGAAAAUCAGCAGAUCUUUAAGCAAUGUUCUUCUUUUGCAAAAUUUUGAUACCAGUAUGUAAAAAUUAAGCUUGAUUCAUACUUAACUGAAAUUAGGAGAGCACAGACUUGCUUAUAAAGCAACAUUAUAACAAGACCAUAUAAGACCAGGUCAUUGCGAUGAGUUUGAGAUACCGCACGAUGACACAAAUGAAGGACUUGAGGAUUUAUCUCAUCGAUAGAACACUUGUGAUACAAUGCUCUGGAUUCAGUCUCCAGCAUUGGGAGAAAACUAAACUAAAUAGACUAUCUAAGAGACAGUUGGAGCACAGACUGCCUUGGUUAAAAAAAAAGUGCUCUCAUCCCUGCCACACAUCACACACACACAGACACAGACACACACACACACACACACACAUACACACAGACACACAGACAGACACAGAUUGAUACACACAGACACACACAUACAGAGACAUACACAUAGACACACAGACCCAUACACACAGACACACAAACAGACACAGACACACACACAGAUGCACACACACACAGACACGCACACACAGAUGCACAGACACACACACAGACAGACACACACAGAAACACACAGACACAUAGACACCAAAGCACAUAUACACACACAGAUACACACACAGACACACACACAUUUUGUUGUCCUGCAAACACAUGGAUGCCUAAAGACUUUGCAGCUACUUGUGUAAGAAUUUCCUCACUACUGUAUUUUCAUGACAAGUCCAACCAUCUUCAAGCUUAAAUCGGACAAGACUUCAGUAAGGCUUGUCACUCCUCCAUCCUUACAGUGGGUUUCUUCUGCUCUGAUUUGUUUAAACUCUUCUUCAUUCAUGAUUGUAUCUCCAUUGUCUUUUUCCCACCCAAUAUCUGAAAUAAAAAGAAGUACAAAAAAACUAGUCUUGAAAAGGCAAAUAGUGUCAGGUGUUGACCUACCCGGCUUUCUGUUCAUGUCACUCAGGGACACAGUGUUUUAUGGUGAAUACAGUACUCUAAAAAGACUCAGCCACUUCCUUUGCUGUGGUUUAUCUUUUCCUCAGAGAAACCAGAAUGAGUUUUUUUUUUAAAUAAAAUGAUUGAAAAGGUACACUGAAUCUCCAAUUUAAUUAUUCCAAUUCCUGCACAAAGGUCUUUCACGGAGGCUGCUGCUUGGUAAAUGCGAUAAAGUUCAAAUGCAUUCUUAAAAAUUGCAAAUUAAUUUAUAAAUUUCCAUUCAAAGUUCGAGCUUGCUAUUUUCAAAUAGAAAAACACAUACAAUUACUUCCUAUUGAUUUGGUAUCCCUAAAUCUAGAGUUUAAGUUAACAUUUAAUCACUUUCUCGAAGUUUCCAGAGGUGUGUGAUUCAAACCAGAGGGAAGGACUGCUGAGCAUGAUUGGAGUCCCUUUAGAAGCCGGGUUCUGACUUAUGUUUCCCAUUCGAUAGCUCUCAAUCUUUGUGUUUUCACAGAGCAAGUCACUUCCCAUACUCUUCCUGGGCUCUGAGUUUUUCUGGAUUUUGUUUGUGUGUUAUGUGCUUGCCUGCCUUCCCUUCCAUAUCCCAUUACUGACCUCUGUUCUGCUGUCGCCACAAGUACUACCGUCUGCUAAAACUCCACUGGGCUGUACAAGGCAGCCUAACAUUCCCUUUCCUUACAUUCCCUGGCACACUUGGUAACUCUUAAUGGAACAUCUUUUAUGUGUUUUAUCCUAUUUCUUUUAGCUGGAUAAAAAAGCUCCGAGAAAGUAUCAUGGUGUCCAGUUCAUCUCCAAGGCUCUUGUAGCAUCUGCCACAGUUUCUUCAAUAAGAAAUUUCAAUAAUUAUUAAUUUAGCUGAACUAAAUUAAUGUCAAACCACUUUCUUGUUACUGUGUAUUGACAAAAUAAUUAUAACAAGUUCAUAACAAUGGUAAGCAGUAGAGACAGGAUUUGAGUACAGGCACACACAGUUCACCACACUUUGAACCUCUCUUUGUUGUCUUGGCAACAGAAAAGAUAUAUUGUAAAGCUGUUAGUGCGGUUAUGUAAAUUGGCUACAUUUGCAAAAAUACAGAAAUUGCCCUAAUGAAACUUAACCCUGAUUGUGUGAAGUGUGUAUGAUAUGUGGUGUGUAUGUGUGUGUGUGUGUAUAUGUAUGUAUGUAUGUAUGUAUGUAUGUAUGUAUGUAUGUAUAUUUGUUAAAGA